AUUGGACUGUAAAAGGUUCUCAGGAGAAGAACACAGUUUAUAGGUAUAAUCUGUUGGAGGAGACAUGGCCUCCAAAAUGAGUGUGUCUGGGGAGCAAGACACAGAGAAAGGCGAGAGAUCAGACUCACCUGAACCCAGUUGUGUGUCCAUGAGGAGUGACGGGUCAAUGAACCGUCUAAUAUACUUCAGAGACAGAGACAGUACUACUGAUCUGAGGCUGCAAAAGGAUUCAGAUACCACACACAGCAACCUACUGGAGUCUAUAUUUAAGGUUUGUGGGUAUAUUUGUGUGUGUUUUUAAUAUAAAACAUGUUACUUUAGUGGUGCAGUUUGAAACGGUCAGGCAGUGAAGAUGAGAAUUCAGCAAGAGCAGGUCCCAGAGUCUGUAACUAGCUGCUAUGUGUUGCUGAGUAAAUAAAUAAAUACAUGUAUCUCAUCUUCUGCC
Long non-coding RNA from Ictalurus punctatus (channel catfish), 445 nucleotides. The record is from Ensembl. Lineage: Eukaryota; Metazoa; Chordata; Actinopteri; Siluriformes; Ictaluridae.